Long non-coding RNA from Cinclus cinclus, 1567 nucleotides. RefSeq lists it as uncharacterized. The transcript is spliced from 6 exons. Lineage: Eukaryota; Metazoa; Chordata; Aves; Passeriformes; Cinclidae. The record is from RefSeq and is a predicted model, not a curated record.
AACCAAAAUUUUAAAUACCAUAUGACUUGAAAAAGGUGAUUACCAGCCAAACUGGUACCGUGUGGAUUGGAUCUCCCACCUGGCAUUCACGAUGUUUCCUGCAUUUAACUCCACCAUUUCUUCAAAUCCAAGGGCAAAUGAAGAGAGGAAUAACCCAAAUGUAAAGGACAUUGUGAGAAACACAGAAAAAUAAAAGGCGAUGCAAUGGUCAGGUACUUUACGAUUCUUCCCUCCGGUCUUCUCUCGGGAUUUUGUGCCACAGGGACUCUGACCCCAGAGCCGUACAGGGUAUGUGUUUCCUUGAUAAAUGGGAACGAGAUUGGCCAAGUCUGUCAGGAAAGCAAAACCAUGCCCGAGGUUUGUUUGGCCAACGAUGGACCGUGAAGACGCAGGCGGUGCAGUGAGGAGCAAGUUGGUGGCUUUCAUGAUUUCUGAGUGACCUCUCCCAGAAACGGGCAUCUGCGUGUGCACGUGCUUCCUGGCAAAUCCAGAUGUGACGUGGAAAUCCUAAGGGAGGAGUUCCAGCCUUGACCACGCGUGACACAGGCUUGUGAAAAUGGAAAUGGCCUUGGCAGAAGAGCAGCUGUGAGGUGAAGCAGGACCGCAAUACAGGCAAGCAGAAGAACCAGGUGCUGCCCAGGGGGGACAUCUGUGGCCUGAGACAGCAAUUGCCAGGGAGGAAGGGGAGCCUUUGCACAGCUCACCUGCAGUGCUCAGGUGGUUGGGACAGGAUUGGUGUGGCCUGAGAAGGCCUGAACAGCUGUGUCUGUGUUCUGGAGUGCCUUGAAACCUUUCUCUGUCAGGUUUUGAAGGGGUUUCUCUCUGGGAUUUCUUGUGAUGCAGCACCCCGGGUGUCCCUUUGUGCCAAGUCCAGUGGUAAAGGAGUGAAGAACUGGCGAGUGGGGUCUGGGAUGAAAAUGGUUCUGUUAAAAUUAAGCAAAGAAUGUUAUAGGAAAAAAUAAUCAUCUUUUUAAUGUCUGAAAUAGUUAAGACUAAAAAUGCUGGGGGAAAGGCAUUUUUAUAUUUGAAGCAGUGUCACCUGUCAUAGAUAAAACCCCAUAGUGCACAAUCAGAGCAGAAUUGUGGAAACUGGGAUCUUUUCACUUCCGCAAUGGACUUCAUUUUCUUUUCCUCCUCUCUUUCAGGACCGGAGAAAUCAUUGCACUCCUCCCAUCUUUGCCAAAAGCUGUGGUGUUUGAGGAGCCAGAGCCAAGAGGCUUCAGCACCAGGGGUCUGCACUGGAGGGCUCCCGGUCCUGACCGCGCAGGGUUCCCCUUUUCUUCCCCGCUGGGAUGAAGUGUCUAUGGAAUCUGGGAUCUGGGUGAAACUGCGGCUCUGCUGGUAUCCAGGGACGUGAGGUUCCGGGGGACUGCGUUUCCCUGUGGCUUUCCAGGUCAGCAACAACCGGAGGAAAUGGGGUGCCAGAGCCGUGCCCCAUCAGGCCGUGUUUGCCUCUGAGGAACAGAGAGUCCGGGCUGAGUGAGAAGAACUUGAACUCCCAGCCAUUAAGUCUUGACAGUCCCCUGCAGUGAGAGCUCAGCACGCAUCCACAGAGACAAGUCCAGCA